AGUGAACGCUGGCGGUAGGCCUAACACAUGCAAGUCGAACGGCAGCACAGUAAGAGCUUGCUCUUACGGGUGGCGAGUGGCGGACGGGUGAGGAAUACAUCGGAAUCUACUUUUUCGUGGGGGAUAACGUAGGGAAACUUACGCUAAUACCGCAUACGACCUACGGGUGAAAGCAGGGGAUCUUCGGACCUUGCGCGAUUGAAUGAGCCGAUGUCGGAUUAGCUAGUUGGCGGGGUAAAGGCCCACCAAGGCGACGAUCCGUAGCUGGUCUGAGAGGAUGAUAGGCACACUGGAAACGGGAAAACGGCCCGGCCCCUUAGGGGAGGCACAGUGGGGGAAAAUGGGCAAAGGGGGGCAAGCCGGAUCCAGCAAUACGGGGGGGUGGAAGAAGGCUUUCGGGUGGUAAGCCCUUUUGUUGGGAAAGAAAAGCAGCAGGUUAAUACCCCGCUGUUCUGACGGUACCCAAAGAAUAAGCACCGGCUAACUUCGUG
This 491-nucleotide ribosomal RNA is filed under the name uncultured bacterium. RNAcentral describes it as "partial 16S ribosomal RNA". It matches the Rfam family "Bacterial small subunit ribosomal RNA", at positions 29 to 507 of the family's 1533-position model. The record is from RNAcentral.